GCGAUCAGAUACCGCCCUAGUUCUGACCGUAAACGAUGCCAACUAGCGAUCCGCCAGUCGACUCAUCGCUCUGGUGGGGAGCUUCCCGGAAACGGAAGUCUUCCGGUUCCGGGGGAAGUAUGGUUGCAAAGCUGAAACUUAAAGGAAUUGACGGAAGGGCACCACCAGGAGUGGAGCCUGCGGCUUAAUUUGACUCAACACGGGGAAACUCACCCGGCCCGGACACCGUAAGGAUUGACAGAUUGAUAGCUUUUUCAUGAUUCGGUGGAUGGUGGUGCAUGGCCGUUCUUAGUUCGUGGAGCGAUUUGUCUGGUUUAUUCCGAUAACGAGCGAGACUCUGGCCUACUAAAUAGUUGACGCAUUGCCACUGUGCGCACAACUUCUUAGAGGGAUUUUCGGUGUUUUCAACCGCACGAAAUUGAGCAAUAACAGGUCUGUGAUGCCCUUAGAUGUCCGGGGCUGCACGCGCGCUACACUGGCAAACGCAACGUGCCUGUCCUGCCCCGAAAGGAGCGGGUAAACCCCUGAAAUUUUGCCGUGAUUGGGAUCGGACAUUGCAACUAUUGUCCGUGAACGAGGAAUUCCUUGUAGGGGCGAGUCAUCAACUCGUCCCGAAUACGUCCCUGCCCUUUGUA
This 635-nucleotide ribosomal RNA is filed under the name Rotylenchulus reniformis. RNAcentral's name for it is "SSU rRNA". It matches the Rfam family "Eukaryotic small subunit ribosomal RNA", at positions 1004 to 1664 of the family's 1831-position model. The record is from RNAcentral. Lineage: Eukaryota; Metazoa; Nematoda; Chromadorea; Rhabditida; Hoplolaimidae.